UCUAAUAUGGCAGAAUAGUGCAAUGAAUUUAAGCUUCAUAUAUAAAGACAAGUCUUUUAUUAGAA
This 65-nucleotide transfer RNA is filed under the name Petillopsis calcar. RNAcentral's name for it is "tRNA-Leu". The record is from RNAcentral. Lineage: Eukaryota; Metazoa; Arthropoda; Insecta; Hemiptera; Coreidae. RNAcentral also lists the same sequence under 1 other name.